Thamnophis sirtalis is the source of this 1327-nucleotide non-coding RNA. The record is from RefSeq and is a predicted model, not a curated record. NCBI's taxonomy places the organism in Eukaryota, Metazoa, Chordata, Lepidosauria, Squamata, Natricidae.
UUCGUCGCGCUGCUGAUGACGUCAGGUACGCACUUUCGUCGAGCGCGCUUUUGUCGAUCACGGUUUCUUAGACCUAAGCCUGUGUGUCUUUUGAAAUUCUGUAUCAUUGAAGUACAAUAGGAGUAUUUUGUUGCAAUUACCUAUACUAUGUACAAAGGAACCAGAAUUUUGUGGUGAUAUUCUAGGGUUUAAGAAUCAUCCUAUGGUAUCGAUAAAAGCUAAAGUAUAAUUCAAUUAGGGCAUGGUCCAGGCUAAAAUCAGUAGUUUUCAGUUACUGUUGAAUUAAAUGGGAGAGAAAGAGCAUAACUUCAUUUCUCUGUAUUUACCUACAGUGCAUUUCAGGGUUUUUAUUCUUUUUAAUAAAUUUAUAGACAUUUCUAAAAUUCUGUUUUACUUUGUCAUUAUGGGAUACUGAGUAUAGAUUAAUGAGGGGGGGGGAAUAAUGUCAACAACUGUAGAAUCAGAUUGCAAGCAUCACAUAAGUGAAGGGGAUCUGAAUACUUUCUGAAUGCACUGCAUAUUCUAUUCCAUCCUAUAGGCACAGUAUAAUUACUAUGUACACAUUAUACACUCUUCCCCCACUCCCCCACCCCCAAAUGAAGUUCUGUCCACAAGUACUCAUAAUCUAAUCCAUCAAUUCCUCUUCAUGUAGGUACUUGGAUACAGUAUCAGAUAUACUAAAUUCUGUAAGGAAAAUGGAAGAGAGCUUGAAGAGGCUAAAACAAGCCAGAAAAACUGUAACUGCAAAUAAUCCCUCCCCUUCUGGAGGCAUGUGUGAUGAUAACAAAAUCCGCCUACAGUUAGUUCUAGAUGUAGAACAUUUUGGAAUGCAGAUGGAGAGGAUGGGGAUGCAGCUGAGCAACAUUAAAAGUUUUUCCACUCUUUCGGAGCUUGUUCAAGCUGCUAAAGAUCAGAUAGCCACCGAACAAACAUAACAUCAUCUCCAGCUUUUUAAUGAAGAGACCUAGCUUCCAAAAAAGAAAACAACUUUAUUUUUUAUUUUUACUUUUCUUUGCCAAAUACUAUAUAGCAAAAAAAAGUGCUUCCUAAUGCAACUUCAGCACAGAUUUAAAUUUAUCUCAAAAUAGAAAAACUCAUUUUGUGAAAAUAAAGAAACAUACAGGGGAGAACUUUUAUUUUGGUUUUCCGUUAUAUGGAAGGCAGUUUAUAUAUUUCUACGUAUUCUGCCAUAGGAUUAUGGAAAUAUUUUUAUUUUUAUUGUAAAUUAUUAUCAUGCAGAAAAAAUGAAUUUAAGAUGAUUAAAAUGAACAAAAAGGAUUUUGUCUUUUUGUAAAUUUUGUUAGAAUAAACAGUGGUGUUAAGUAUA